Molecule: ribosomal RNA, 783 nt
Filed under: Alteromonas sp. MMRF1016
Lineage: Bacteria; Pseudomonadati; Pseudomonadota; Gammaproteobacteria; Alteromonadales; Alteromonadaceae
Description: bacterial SSU rRNA
Rfam family: Bacterial small subunit ribosomal RNA
Source: RNAcentral
UCCGGCGCAAAGAGAGGCCCAAGUGAGAUUAGCUAGUUGGUAAGGUAACGGCUUACCAAGGCGACGAUCUCUAGCUGUUCUGAGAGGAAGAUCAGCCACACUGGGACUGAGACACGGCCCAGACUCCUACGGGAGGCAGCAGUGGGGAAUAUUGCACAAUGGGGGAAACCCUGAUGCAGCCAUGCCGCGUGUGUGAAGAAGGCCUUCGGGUUGUAAAGCACUUUCAGUUGUGAGGAAAAGUUAGUAGUUAAUACCUGCUAGCCGUGACGUUAACAACAGAAGAAGCACCGGCUAACUCCGUGCCAGCAGCCGCGGUAAUACGGAGGGUGCGAGCGUUAAUCGGAAUUACUGGGCGUAAAGCGCACGCAGGCGGUUUGUUAAGCUAGAUGUGAAAGCCCCGGGCUCAACCUGGGAUGGUCAUUUAGAACUGGCAGACUAGAGUCUUGGAGAGGGGAGUGGAAUUCCAGGUGUAGCGGUGAAAUGCGUAGAUAUCUGGAGGAACAUCAGUGGCGAAGGCGACUCCCUGGCCAAAGACUGACGCUCAUGUGCGAAAGUGUGGGUAGCGAACAGGAUUAGAUACCCUGGUAGUCCACACCGUAAACGCUGUCUACUAGCUGUGUGUGCCUUUAAGGCGUGCGUAGCGAAGCUAACGCGCUAAGUAGACCGCCUGGGGAGUACGGCCGCAAGGUUAAAACUCAAAUGAAUUGACGGGGGCCCGCACAAGCGGUGGAGCAUGUGGUUUAAUUCGAUGCAACGCGAAGAACCUUACCUACACUUGACAUG